CAGUAAAAUUCAAUUUAUAGCAUAGCCAAAAAAUGAGAAGAACACUCAGAAGUAACCAUAUUUGUUGAUUUAAAUUUAUCAAUUUGAAUAUCAAUAAACAAUAAUAUCCUUGCUAAUUUCACAAAUUGAAGUCAUCGAAGCAUAAAGGACCAAAUCUAGGAGCACCAAAUCAUCAAUUAACACUGUUUCGAUUAUGGACUCUCUCUUCAUUUCAACAAAACUAAAAUCUCUAUACCCAGCAGUUUCUAAACUAUAAUUUUAUAGUCACUUGAGCUAAUUCCUCAGGUCCUACACAGCAAAAUAAACAGAAAUCCGAAAUCCAGUUUUCUUCUUUCUUUCUUCCAUUUUUUUUUCUAAGAAACACCCAACUGAAUUCUCAAAAGGGUUAUUUAUUUAUUUAUUUUACCUCAUGUCGCUGCAUUGCAGAUGG
This 430-nucleotide unclassified non-coding RNA is filed under the name Hevea brasiliensis (rubber tree). Lineage: Eukaryota; Viridiplantae; Streptophyta; Magnoliopsida; Malpighiales; Euphorbiaceae. The record is from RNAcentral.